GCCCCCGUAGCUCAGAGGCCUAGAGCGGCGGCCUUUUAAGCCGCGCGGCGCUGGUUCGAAUCCAGCCGGGGGCA
RNAcentral lists this transfer RNA (74 nucleotides) under Solirubrobacterales bacterium. RNAcentral describes it as "tRNA-Lys". It matches the Rfam family "tRNA". Rfam says of the family: Transfer RNA (tRNA) molecules are approximately 80 nucleotides in length. The record is from RNAcentral. Lineage: Bacteria; Bacillati; Actinomycetota; Thermoleophilia; Solirubrobacterales.